UACGUAGGGUGCGAGCGUUAAUCGGAAUUACUGGGCGUAAAGCGUGCGCAGGCGGUUUUGUAAGCCAGAUGUGAAAUCCCCGGGCUUAACCUGGGAAUGGCAUUUGGGACUGCAAGGCUCGAGUGCGGCAGAGGAGACUGGAAUUCCUGGUGUAGCAGUGAAAUGCGUAGAUAUCAGGAGGAACACCGGUGGCGAAGGCGGAUCUCUGGGCCUUACCUGACGCUCAGGUGCGAAAGCUAGGGGAGCGAACAGG
RNAcentral lists this ribosomal RNA (253 nucleotides) under uncultured bacterium. RNAcentral's name for it is "partial 16S ribosomal RNA". It matches the Rfam family "Bacterial small subunit ribosomal RNA", at positions 524 to 776 of the family's 1533-position model. The record is from RNAcentral.